GGACUACUGGGGUAUCUAAUCCCGUUUGCUCCCCUGGCUUUCGUCCAUGAGCGUCAGUGACUCCCCAGAAAGCUGCCUACGCCAUCGGUGUUCUUCCGGAUAUCUACGCAUUUCACCACUCCACCCGGAGUUCCGCUUUCCUCUGAAGCCCUCAAGUCUUCCAGUUUUCGGAGCACUUCCCCGGUUAAGCCGAGAACUGUCACCCCAAACUUGAAAGACCGCCUGCGGACGCUUUACGCCCAAUAAAUCCGGACAACGCUUGCCCCCUACGUAUUACCGCGGCUGCUGGCAC
This 292-nucleotide ribosomal RNA is filed under the name uncultured bacterium. RNAcentral's name for it is "partial 16S ribosomal RNA". The record is from RNAcentral.